CAGACUAUUUGCAGAGAGGGCCAACUACUAAUUUCAGCAGAAAGGACCCCAGCACCAUUCAGAAGAUUAAAGAGACCCUGAAUUUGAUGAGAAAUCAACACUUUGAGAGCUGAACAUCAAUGAUCUGUGGACAGUUUGGCAGUGGGAUGAGAAGGUGAUAGACCACUACACUAUGUUUACUGCAUGACGACCACUUCAUUGAUUGUGAAACUUCCAAUCAGUGAGGAUUCUCUUGACUUCCUAGUCGACCCAGCUAAAGACGCGUGAACAGAACCUGACCCGCCUGUUCCAAAGGAUGCAUUCCUACCACUUUGAGCAGAAUUCAGCAGACCUGGACAAGCGGCUAUCUGAUGGAAUACGCCCACUCAACACAGCUGAUUUAGAGAGAUACGGAGACCAGACUUACUUUGAGGAGAUCAAGCAGUUUUACUAGAGAGAUGAAUUCAGCCACCAGGUCCAGGAGUGGAACAUGCAGUGCACCCUUGUCAUUGAACGCUGCAGCAAUGAUGAUGAC
Long non-coding RNA from Epinephelus fuscoguttatus (brown-marbled grouper), 514 nucleotides. RefSeq lists it as uncharacterized. The transcript is spliced from 3 exons. NCBI's taxonomy places the organism in Eukaryota, Metazoa, Chordata, Actinopteri, Perciformes, Serranidae. The record is from RefSeq and is a predicted model, not a curated record.